This 334-nucleotide long non-coding RNA is filed under the name Mytilus galloprovincialis (Mediterranean mussel). Lineage: Eukaryota; Metazoa; Mollusca; Bivalvia; Mytilida; Mytilidae. The record is from RNAcentral.
UUUAUACAUCUAGGCCAUCGAUACAUAGAACACACUCACUCAAGUGUUGUUCCUUUAUACAUCUAGGCCAUCGAUACAUAGAACACACUCACUCAAGUGUUGUUCCUUUAUACAUCUAGGCCAUCGAUACAUAGAACACACUCACUCAAUGUGUUCCUUUAUACAUCUACGCCAUCGAUACAUAGAACACACUCACUCAAGUGUUGUUCCUUUAUACAUCUACGCCAUCGAUACAUAGAACACACUCACUCAAGUGUUGUUCCUUUAUACAUCUAGGCCAUCGAUACAUAGAACACACUCACUCAAGUGUUGUUCCUUUAUACAUCUAGGCCAU